CCCCAGCGCUACAAGUGGCGAUCGCUUUUAUUGGGCUUAAAGCGUUCGUAGUCGGAUAAAUAAAUUCUUUGUGAAAUCAAUAAGCUCAACUUAUUGGCGUGCAGAGAAGACUGUUUAUCUUGGAACCGGGAGAAGUAAGGAGUAUUUCUAGGGGAGCGGUAAAAUGUUAUAAUCCUAGAAGGACUACCGGUGGCGAAGGCGCCUUACUAGAACGGAUUCGACGAUGAGGAACGAAAGCCAGGGGAACAAAACGG
This 254-nucleotide ribosomal RNA is filed under the name uncultured bacterium. RNAcentral describes it as "partial 16S ribosomal RNA". It matches the Rfam family "Archaeal small subunit ribosomal RNA", at positions 474 to 727 of the family's 1478-position model. The record is from RNAcentral.